RNAcentral lists this ribosomal RNA (502 nucleotides) under uncultured bacterium. Its description in RNAcentral is "partial 16S ribosomal RNA". It matches the Rfam family "Bacterial small subunit ribosomal RNA", at positions 28 to 507 of the family's 1533-position model. The record is from RNAcentral.
GACGAACGCUGGCGGCGUGCUUAACACAUGCAAGUCGAACGGUGAAGGGGUCUGCUUUUGUGGGCCCUGGAUGAGUGGCGAACGGGUGAGUAACACGUGAGUAACCUGCCCCCUUCUUCUGGAUAACCGCAUGAAAGUGUGGCUAAUACGGGAUAUUCUGGGUCUGUCGCAUGAUGGGUCUGGGAAAGAUUGAGCCUUUGGGUGUAUUUGGUGGGGGAUGGGCUCGCGGCCUAUCAGCUUGUUGGUGGGGUGAUGGCCUACCAAGGCGGUGACGGGUAGCCGGCCUGAGAGGGUGGACGGUCACACUUGGACUGAGACACGGCCCACACUCCUACGCGAGGCAGCAGUGGGGAAUAUUGCACAAUGGGCGCAAGCCUGAUGCAGCGACGCCGCGUGAGGGAUGGAGGCCUUCGGGUUGUAAACCUCUUUCGCCAGUGAAGCAGGCCUGCUCCUUGUGGGUGGGUUGACGGUAGCUGGAUAAGAAGCGCCGGCUAACUACGUG